This 421-nucleotide long non-coding RNA is filed under the name Sinocyclocheilus grahami. RNAcentral's name for it is "lncRNA (ENSSGRG00000028077.1)". Lineage: Eukaryota; Metazoa; Chordata; Actinopteri; Cypriniformes; Cyprinidae. The record is from RNAcentral.
CUCAUUAAAACCUUGUAUCUCAAUAUUAAGUCACUUUUUAAUGAAUUAUUUCUAUUGGUUACUUCAGCGAGAGAGAGGACUAGAUGUUCCAUGAAGUGGAUCAGACAGCCUUGCCCUCUGAAGUAGACCAUGCCAAACUUCCAAGUACACCCUGCGUAAUUGUGUGUGGAAGUUCCCCUUUGACUGCAGAGAACUUUGAUUUCUGUCGACCAAGUCAUAGUUAACAGCCACAUCACCAUCUUCUGCGAUGCUCUGAAGUUUGAUGUUUGCCUCAUACUACUGCUUGAAUAUUUCAUACUCAGGAGACCAAGGAGCAACGCUAGAGUUCGUGCAAAGAUGCCUUUUUAAGAUAAACCCCGAGAAGGGAUCGAAAGUGGAGAAGACCACAUCGAGAAAGCAAUCGGCCAAAGGUUCUUUGACU